Molecule: ribosomal RNA, 253 nt
Filed under: uncultured bacterium
Lineage: Bacteria
Description: partial 16S ribosomal RNA
Rfam family: Bacterial small subunit ribosomal RNA
Source: RNAcentral
UACGUAGGGGGCAAGCGUUGUCCGGAUUUAUUGGGCGUAAAGAGCGUGUAGGCGGCCAAACAGGUCAGCUGUGAAAACUCGAGGCUCAACCUCGAGACGUCGGUUGAAACCGUUUGGCUAGAGUCCGGAAGAGGAGAGUGGAAUUCCCGGUGUAGCGGUGAAAUGCGCAGAUAUCAGGAAGAACACCCGUGGCGAAGGCGGCUCUCUGGGACGGUACUGACGCUGAGACGCGAAAGCGUGGGGAGCGAACAGG